UAGGGAAUCUUCGGCAAUGGGGGCAACCCUGACCGAGCAACGCCGCGUGAGUGAAGAAGGUUUUCGGAUCGUAAAGCUCUGUUGUAAGUCAAGAACGAGUGUGAGAGUGGAAAGUUCACACUGUGACGGUAGCUUACCAGAAAGGGACGGCUAACUACGUGCCAGCAGCCGCGGUAAUACGUAGGUCCCGAGCGUUGUCCGGAUUUAUUGGGCGUAAAGCGAGCGCAGGCGGUUUGAUAAGUCUGAAGUUAAAGGCUGUGGCUCAACCAUAGUUCGCUUUGGAAACUGUCAAACUUGAGUGCAGAAGGGGAGAGUGGAAUUCCAUGUGUAGCGGUGAAAUACGUAGAUAUAUGGAGGAACACCGGUGGCGAAAGCGGCUCUCUGGUCUGUAACUGACGCUGAGGCUCGAAAGCGUGGGGAGCGAACAGGAUUAGAUACCCUGGUAGUCCACGCCGUAAACGAUGAGUGCUAGGUGUUGGAUCCUUUCCGGGAUUCAGUGCCGCAGCUAACGCAUUAAGCACUCCGCCUGGGGAGUACGACCGCAAGGUUG
RNAcentral lists this ribosomal RNA (550 nucleotides) under uncultured bacterium. RNAcentral describes it as "bacterial SSU rRNA". It matches the Rfam family "Bacterial small subunit ribosomal RNA", at positions 355 to 896 of the family's 1533-position model. The record is from RNAcentral.